RNA transcript from Rosa rugosa (rugosa rose), 4447 nucleotides. RefSeq lists it as uncharacterized. The record is from RefSeq and is a predicted model, not a curated record. NCBI's taxonomy places the organism in Eukaryota, Viridiplantae, Streptophyta, Magnoliopsida, Rosales, Rosaceae. The transcript is spliced from 15 exons.
AUCCCAUUCUCUUCCUCUUUCCUCUCUCGGCCGUAUCACUCUAUCUCUCCCCUGACCUCUCUCCUUCUCGUCCUCCCACUAAUAACGCCGGAAAACCCCAUCUCCGGCCACCACCAAUCAACGCAGCACCCAAAACCGACCCAAACCCGACCGAAAUCUUAGCCAUGCACCACCGUCCUCCUUCACACGCAACAACCCAAGAUACCUAAGACUGCGCGCUACUGUCCCUUGACUCUCGCCGGUUUCCGGCGAUUCCUCACCCUUCUACCAUCGUCGAUCUACUCAGCAAGCAAAGCGGAGCAAAACCCAGAACCCCUCUUUGCUGCUGACGCCAGAUAAGGCCAAACGAGCAUCACAGGAGCUCUCGGCCUUGCAUUCCUUCGCUCUUCUAUAUCCGGUCGAAACUAGGUUGCACGACCUCCAUAAUCGGAAUCGGAGCCUUGCCAACCACGAGAACCCAUGGUUUCGAUCUCCGGUUCCGACCAGAGACGCUGCACGCACCUCACGCGCUGCCGUGAGCCCCGCCAUCAUAGCCUAAUGGUUCCGCUUGGAAGAAACGAUGGGAUUCUGAAGAAAAAGGGCAGCUUCUGGUCAUUUUUUUGAUUGAGUUUUUAAGGGGAUGGUGAAGAACAGAGGACUGCAAGAAGUAGCAUGUUAUGGAGAUUUUGGUCUUGGCAGAGCAGGUAUGGGGUAAGAAAUCCCAGCCUUAAACUUAUGAAUUUAGCUUUGUUGGGAUAUUGAAAUUGAUUAAUUGAGCAUGUUGUUUUGUGGUGGAGAUGAAUACCUGGAAUUUGGUCAAGGACAUUAAGCCGAGGCUACCAAAGAAAGGAUUUGGAAAGGUUAGACUUAUGAGAAAGGACUCGAGCAUGUGCACUUGGAUUUGGACAAAUGAUCAAAAGUCGGGAACGAAUCCGAAUGUGGACGAGCACUCCAUAUCUAGGGGUCCAUUCACGUGCAAUUGUCAUGACUUAAACAGAAAGAAGAAGUCUUUGAGCGAUACAAAUGACUUCAAGAUUUGGAAGUUAUAUAAGGGGUUCAAACCAGGUGGAUUUUCUCUGGCCUAUGCUUUUGGUUUAGUUUGGAUUCUUAGAUAAGUUGCUAGAAUUGAUGCAGAGAGAAUGAGUUUGGGUACCAGUACAAUGACCAACAGUGUCUAAUUUAUGUCAUUUCCAAUAUAAGCAAAAGGAAUGUGAAGAGGAAUGAGUAUGUAUUGUUUGAAGCUCCUAGGCAACAGCAAAAGAAGGCCUCCAAAAAGAGAGAUGGAUAAUUCAUUGGCUACAAACAUUGAUAUUGAGAAUUCUGAUUUGGAGUUGGAUUGGAAACCUAGAGAAGGAACAAGCAGCUUAUGACUUCUACAAUAGAUAUGGAGGAAAAAAGGGGUUUAGUAUUAGAAGGGAGACUCAUGGUAAGAAUAAAAGAACAAAAGAACUCACUUCAAGAUUAUUUGUUUGCUGUAAGGAAGGUAUUCGAUCCAAAGAUAAGAGGGAUUACAUGAUCAGAAAACCCAGAGCAGAGACAAGAACAGGUUGUGGUGCUAAACUUUGUAUUAAAUUGAAUAGGAGGAACAAUAAGUUCUUUGUUAGCCAUUUUGUUGAAGAGCACAAUCAUCCUCUUGUGGGGAAAGAAUGUUCCCACAUGCUACCUUCACAACAGAAUGUUCCCAAGGCCUCGCCGGCACUGACCCAAGCCCUCCGAUCCAGCUCCACCUCACCCGUCGUCGCACCUUCAUUCUCAACCCCACUGUCGAGGCCUCUUCCGUCAACCGCCAUGGUCUACGAUCGCCUCGCCGAGGACGUCAAAUCUAAGCUCCAGAGUCUCGAAAACCCCGACCCGAGGUUCCUCAGCUUGAAAAAACAAUGAAAUCUACAUUCAUUCGUGAGAUACAAGCUUUUCAGUACAACUUCAAAAUGAGAGUUCGUGUAUCAAGAGUAUGGAGACCAAAGAAGUUGAAUACUAUUCAUCAAAAAAAAAAAAAGAAGUUGAAUACUAUUCAUCAAAAAAAAAAAAAGAAGUUGAAUGCUGACAUGUAUGAUGACCUCCAUUAUGUCUUAGUUGACAAAAGAGUAACCACUGUUUUUUGAAUCAACUCCAGCAACAACUUUUCCUGACCAACUCCAGCAUCUAAUGCAGCUGCAACUGAAGCAAUCAGCUAGAGCAUUUUGUGCAACUGUGAUUGGAGCAAUCACUUUUUUGAACAAGCUCCAGCAAUAACCUUUGCUAGAUUAACUUGAGACCCUUUUGUAAAACUAGCAUUGUUGCACCGGCUCCAGUUGAACAAGCUUCAACUAAAAUGUAACAUGUAUAAAAACCCUUUGAUACUUUAAUAAUAUAUGUAACUAUAUAUGUUCCUUUAAUAUUUCAUCAUGCUGAUUCAUUUACAAGAACAAACUCCGCAGCAAAGUGCGGGAAAAAUUUCUAGUACAAUAUACAAAGCUGAGUUCUACUGUUACACUGUUCACGUAACUGUAUCAUGCCGAUUUUGCCCUUGCCUUUGUCCCACUACUUCACGCUGCCAUUGGCGUAUAGAUAAGCAUGGCUAUUGUGUGUUCGGGGGAGACUUCCAUCGAGUUGGUUCUGAUAUAUAAAGAAAACGCCCAAUCUAUUAUCUUCAGGAAGCUUCUGUCAAGGUCAAGAUUCACUGUUACUUGAGAAUAAAAUCGGAGAUCAACUUCGACAACAGUGAACGAUCGGUUUAUCUAUCUGAGGAUCGGAGGGUGCAUUAAAUCGAGGUUGGCUCUGGGAAUUCCGGCAUGGAAAUUGCUUUGGAUCUGGCAAACGAUGGUGCAAAGACUUCAAUCAUUGGUUCUUUUUUUUUGUCAAGAAGGAUGGUUUACUUGGCCUUGGUUUUGUUGAGAUAUCUUUCACUAAGCAAAGUGGAUUCUUUGAUGGUUUUGCUUAGCAAGCUGGUUUAUGGAGAUCUGACCCCAAGUACGGGAUAGCCAGGCCAAAAAAGGGCCCUUUCUUUAUGAAGAUCAAGUACGACAAGUAUCCGGCCAUUGAUGUCGGCGCCUGUAAUAAGAUCAAGUCCGAUGAGAUUCAGGUUUUACCCGCAGAAAUAGGCAGCAUAAGAGGAAGCGAUGUGGAACUCAAAAAGGGGAAGUCAUACCAGUUUGAGUCCAUCGUUUUCUGCACCGGAUUCAAGACAUCAACAAGUUUGUGGCUCAAGAUGAUUAUCUUUUGAAAGAAGAUGGGAUUCCAAGACCAAGUUCUCCAAACCAUUCCAAGGGACAGAAGGGUUUGUAUUGUGUGGGACUAUCAAGAAUUUGGAGCCAAAAUUUGUUUAAUCACCUCUUGUCGGGAUACUUGCUACAUUGAGAUCCUUCCUAAAGACAGGAAUCCUACACGAGAGCUUUGGCUGACUUUUGGAGCGGAGUGCAUUACAACUCACUAUAUGCUACUGCAGAUGUUCCCACAAGAAGUCCCAGAAAGAACCAUUGGCUUUUCUAGACUGCAAUUAGCAAGCAGACAGACCAUUAUGUAAUCUUAGUCUGCUUGCCGGUAUCCAUUCUACUGUCUUUGGCAGAAUUAGAAAAUGGGACAGUGCCUUGGUUGUUUCUGAUAGGUUCAUAAUUUCAUAUAUUUUUAUACCCUUAAAUGUAGGAUUCUAGGCUUAGUUCUUAUCAUUUUUGAGUCAUUUACUUUGUGUUUGUGUUUUGUAGGUUAAAUUGGAGAAAAGAAAGAUUUGGAGCUUAAAGUCAAACGCGGGAUUGAAAGGAUGCUUGCUAUCCUGAGCGUCCAGAAUUGUCUCUGCUGUGCGUCAACUUCAUAGAUUAAACUGUACCUUCUCAGAAGGAAUUAGCAGGCGAGCCUUAUACCAUUGGAAAGAUACGGAUGUUAGCUUUCUGAGGAAUUUUACGGAAGUGGAUUCGCAUUCUUGUAGAGGAAGUUAUGAUGAUUUAAGUGAACCUAGUUCGGGAAGGCAGAUUCUGACGGAUUUUGCAUAUCUUUUGAGAAUCUGGUUUGUGAAGCCCAAAUCCGUUGCUCUUAGUACUUGAAUGGAUAAGACUGAACGUAUCUGGUAUACUUGGAGUAAUUUCUUGCAUUGACUUUAAUAACCCUGCGUUUCUUUGGAGAGAAGAAAGCUAUUCCAAGUUGGACUAGAAGACCUAAGAAGCCCAAGUCAAGUAGGAUUUGAAAAGAGACAUACAUGGAGAAAACCUAGCACGUUUUAGACAAGAAGAGACAGCAGAUUACGCAGAGAACAAGGAGAAGAGAAGCUCUCACCAACGCUGGUUCCAAGUUCCUCAAUUCUUCCAUUGUCUGUUUUCAUGAUUUCUUUGAUUCUAGUCAUGUUUUUCAUAGUUAUGGAUUGCUAAACUUCUAGGCUAGGGCUGAGAUGAAGCCCCUAGUAUGACUAUUCUAUUUAUUUAGUUGGUUUGCUAUUGAAUUUCUGGAUUUCUAUGUUAAACUCUUAAUCACCGUUUCAAUAGAACUUUUAUUCAAAAUC